RNAcentral lists this long non-coding RNA (1383 nucleotides) under Canis lupus familiaris (dog). RNAcentral describes it as "lncRNA (ENSCAFG00030007001.1)". Lineage: Eukaryota; Metazoa; Chordata; Mammalia; Carnivora; Canidae. The record is from RNAcentral.
AUGGCGAGGGGGACCCGGGCAGGGGGCGGGGCCUCGGGGGGGCGAGGGGGACCGGGCAGGGGGCGGGGCCUCGGGGUGGCGAGGGGGACCGGGCAGGGGGCGGGGCCUCGGGGUGGCGAGGGGGACCGGGCAGGGGGCGGGGCCUCGGGAUGGCGAGGGGGACCGGGCAGGGGGCGGGGCCUCGGGGUGGCGAGGGGGACCGGGCAGGGGGCGGGGCCUCGGGGUGGCGAGGGGGACCGGGCAGGGGGCGGGGCCUCGGGUGGCGAGGGGGACCGGGCAGGGGGCGGGGCCUCGGGGUGGCGAGGGGGACCCGGGCAGGGGGCGGGGCCUCGGGGUGGCGAGGGGGACCGGGCAGGGGGCGGGGCCUCGGGGUGGCGAGGGGGACCCGGGCCGGGGGCGGGGCCCCGGGGUGGCGAGGGGACCCGUGCAGGGGCGGGGCCUCGGGGUGGCGAGGGGGACCGGGCGAGGGGGACCCGGGCAGGGGGCGGGGCCUCGGGGUGGCGAGGGGGACCGGGCAGGGGGCGGGGCCUCGGGGUGGCGAGGGGGACCGGGCAGGGGGCGGGGCCUCGGGGUGGCGAGGGGGACCGGGCAGGGGGCGGGGCCUCGGGGUGGCGAGGGGGACCGGGCAGGGGGCGGGGCCUCGGGGUGGCGAGGGGGACCGGGCAGGGGGCGGGGCCUCGGGGUGGCGAGGGGGACCGGGCAGGGGGCGGGGCCUCGGGGUGGCGAGGGGGACCCGGGCAGGGGGCGGGGCCUCGGGGUGGCGAGGGGGUCCGGGACCGGGACCGGGACCGGGACCGGGACCGGGGCCGGGACCGGGACCGGGGCCGGGAGGAGGGGCGGGCUGCGGCGGGAGGAGGACCGGGUCCUGGAAGCCGGAAGCCGCCAGCCGCCAGCCGCCAGCCGCCCCGCCUCGCGCCGGAAGUCCCGCUGGCGGCAAAGUUAACGGCAGUGGUUGGCGCGUCCGCGUCGGAGUCGCUGGUUCUCGAGGCUGCCGGCUGCGCGCCCCCUGCCCCCACCGAAGCUGACGUGCCCGCGCGGACCCGGGGAGCGUCCGCCGUCCCGGGGCGCUGUGGACGUGACUUCGGGGAGCUGGCUGUCCUGGUCCCAGCCUGCUCCGCCUCCCCGGUGACUGCGUCGGGGUGUGCAGAAUCAGCGGUGGGCCCGCUGGGAGAUGCGACACCGGGAAGGAAGGCUCUGGGUGGCAGGCCAAACCCCGUGCCUCUGAAGUCGGAGUUUGCUUCCCAUCCAGUGGAAGGCGAGGGCCCUCCGGAUGAAAAAGUCUCAGUUUCAAAUUGUAAUCCUCUCCAGAAGGAAGUUUCACCAAAGCAGACAACUCUUUUUCUGAAAAUUCCACAUUUACAUUAUUCUUCUGAACAUUCUUGA